Molecule: ribosomal RNA, 465 nt
Filed under: Vreelandella stevensii
Lineage: Bacteria; Pseudomonadati; Pseudomonadota; Gammaproteobacteria; Oceanospirillales; Halomonadaceae
Description: partial 16S ribosomal RNA
Rfam family: Bacterial small subunit ribosomal RNA
Source: RNAcentral
CCUACGGGUGGCAGCAGUGGGGAAUAUUGGACAAUGGGGGCAACCCUGAUCCAGCCAUGCCGCGUGUGUGAAGAAGGCCCUCGGGUUGUAAAGCACUUUCAGUGAGGAAGAACGCCUGGUGGUUAAUACCCAUCAGGAAAGACAUCACUCACAGAAGAAGCACCGGCUAACUCCGUGCCAGCAGCCGCGGUAAUACGGAGGGUGCGAGCGUUAAUCGGAAUUACUGGGCGUAAAGCGCGCGUAGGUGGCUUGAUAAGCCGGUUGUGAAAGCCCCGGGCUCAACCUGGGAACGGCAUCCGGAACUGUCAAGCUAGAGUGCAGGAGAGGAAGGUAGAAUUCCCGGUGUAGCGGUGAAAUGCGUAGAGAUCGGGAGGAAUACCAGUGGCGAAGGCGGCCUUCUGGACUGAUACUGACACUGAGGUGCGAAAGCGUGGGUAGCAAACAGGAUUAGAUACCCUGGUAGUC